Molecule: ribosomal RNA, 460 nt
Filed under: uncultured bacterium
Lineage: Bacteria
Description: partial 16S ribosomal RNA
Rfam family: Bacterial small subunit ribosomal RNA
Source: RNAcentral
CCUACGGGAGGCAGCAGUGAGGAAUAUUGGUCAAUGGGAGAGAUCCUGAACCAGCCAAGCCGCGUGAGGGAAGACGGCCCUAUGGGUUGUAAACCUCUUUUGUCGGAGAGCAAAACCCGGGACGUGUCGCGGACUGAGUGUAUCCGAAGAAAAAGCAUCGGCUAACUCCGUGCCAGCAGCCGCGGUAAUACGGAGGAUGCGAGCGUUAUCCGGAUUUAUUGGGUUUAAAGGGUGCGUAGGCGGUCCCUGUAGGUCAGGGGUAAAUUUGCGGGGCUCAACCUCGCCGAGCCGUUGAAACUGGUAGUCUAGAGUUGGCGAGAAGUACGCGGAAUGCGUGGUGUAGCGGUGAAAUGCAUAGAUAUCGCGCAGAACUCCGAUUGCGAAGGCAGCGUACCGGCGCCAGACUGACGCUGAUGCACGAAAGCGUGGGGAUCGAACAGGAUUAGAUACCCGAGUAGUC